RNAcentral lists this ribosomal RNA (279 nucleotides) under uncultured bacterium. RNAcentral's name for it is "partial 16S ribosomal RNA". It matches the Rfam family "Bacterial small subunit ribosomal RNA", at positions 506 to 784 of the family's 1533-position model. The record is from RNAcentral.
UGCCAGCCGCCGCGGUAAUACGAGGGGUCCAAGCGUUAUUCGGAAUUAUUGGGCGUAAAGGGCGCGCAGGCGGUCUUGUCCGUCAGGUGUGAAAGCUCGGGGCUCAACCCCGGAAGUGCACUUGAAACAGCAAGACUUGAAUACGGUAGAGGAGAGAGGAAUUCCUGGUGUAGAGGUGAAAUUCGUAGAUAUCUGGAGGAACACCAAUGGCGAAGGCAGCUAUCUGGACGAUUACUGACGCUCAGGCACGAAAGCAUGGGGAGCGAAAGGGAUUAGAUA